RNAcentral lists this ribosomal RNA (253 nucleotides) under uncultured bacterium. RNAcentral describes it as "partial 16S ribosomal RNA". It matches the Rfam family "Bacterial small subunit ribosomal RNA", at positions 524 to 776 of the family's 1533-position model. The record is from RNAcentral.
UACAGAGGGUGCAAGCGUUGAUCGGAAUUACUGGGCGUAAAGCGCGCGUAGGCCGUCGAGUAAGUCGGAUGUGAAAUCCCCGGGCUUAACCUGGGAAUUGCAUUCGAUACUGCUUGGCUAGAGUGUGGAAGAGGGAAGCGGAAUUUCCGGUGUAGCGGUGAAAUGCGUAGAUAUCGGAAGGAACACCAGUGGCUAAGGCGGCUUCCUGGUCCAACAAUGACUCUGAGGCGCGAAAGCGCGGGGAGCGAACAGG